UGCGUUCAAAUGUACUGGCCUAAGUUGCUU
This 30-nucleotide non-coding RNA is filed under the name Homo sapiens (human). The record is from RNAcentral. Lineage: Eukaryota; Metazoa; Chordata; Mammalia; Primates; Hominidae.